UGAGGAAUAUUGCGCAAUGGGGGCAACCCUGACGCAGCGACGCCGCGUGGAGGACGAAGGCCUUCGGGUCGUAAACUCCUGUCAAGCGGGACGAAAGCCGGAGGGAUGAAUAAGUCCUUCGGUUGACGGUACCGCUGGAGGAAGCCCCGGCUAACUCCGUGCCAGCAGCCGCGGUAAUACGGAGGGGGCCAGCGUUGUUCGGAAUCAUUGGGCGUAAAGGGCGCGUAGGCGGCUUGGUAAGUCGGUUGUGAAAUCCCUCGGCUCAACCGAGGAACUGCGUCCGAUACUGCCGAGCUUGAGUCCCGGAGAGGAUAGCGGAAUUCCCAGUGUAGCGGUGAAAUGCGUAGAUAUUGGGAGGAACACCAGUGGCGAAGGCGGCUAUCUGGACGGGCACUGACGCUGAGGCGCGAAAGCGUGGGGAGCAAACAGGAUUAGAUACCCCCGUAGUCC
RNAcentral lists this ribosomal RNA (450 nucleotides) under uncultured prokaryote. RNAcentral's name for it is "bacterial SSU rRNA". It matches the Rfam family "Bacterial small subunit ribosomal RNA", at positions 355 to 796 of the family's 1533-position model. The record is from RNAcentral.